GACGAACGCUGGCGGCGUGCCUAAUACAUGCCAGUCGAACGCUUCUUUCCUCCCGAGUGCUUGCACUCAAUUGGAAAGAGGAGUGGCGGACGGGUGAGUAACACGUGGGUAACCUACCCAUCAGAGGGGGAUAACACUUGGAAACAGGUGCUAAUACCGCAUAACAGUUUAUGCCGCAUGGCAUAAGAGUGAAAGGCGCUUUCGGGUGUCGCUGAUGGAUGGACCCGCGGUGCAUUAGCUAGUUGGUGAGGUAACGGCUCACCAAGGCCACGAUGCAUAGCCGACCUGAGAGGGUGAUCGGCCACACUGGGACUGAGACACGGCCCAGACUCCUACGGGAGGCAGCAGUAGGGAAUCUUCGGCAAUGGACGAAAGUCUGACCGAGCAACGCCGCGUGAGUGAAGAAGGUUUUCGGAUCGUAAAACUCUGUUGUUGGAGAAGAACAAGGACGUUAGUAACUGAACGUCCCCUGACGGUAUCUAACCAGAAAGACACGGCUAACUACGUG
RNAcentral lists this ribosomal RNA (508 nucleotides) under uncultured bacterium. RNAcentral describes it as "partial 16S ribosomal RNA". It matches the Rfam family "Bacterial small subunit ribosomal RNA", at positions 28 to 507 of the family's 1533-position model. The record is from RNAcentral.